ACUCCUACGGGAGGCAGCAGUGGGGAAUCUUGCGCAAUGGGCGAAAGCCUGACGCAGCGACGCCGCGUGCGGGAAGAAGGCCUUCGGGUUGUAAACCGCUUUCAGGAGGGACGAAGCCACUCGGGUUAAUAGCCCAGAGGGUGACGGUACCUCCAGAAGAAGCCCCGGCUAACUACGUGCCAGCAGCCGCGGUAAUACGUAGGGGGCGAGCGUUGUCCGGAUUUAUUGGGCGUAAAGAGCGUGUAGGCGGCCAGGUAGGUCAGCUGUGAAAACUCGAGGCUUAACCUCGAGACGCCGGCUGAAACCAUCUGGCUAGAGUCCGGAAGAGGAGAAUGGAAUUCCUGGUGUAGCGGUGAAAUGCGCAGAUAUCAGGAAGAACACCCGUGGCGAAGGCGGUUCUCUGGGGCGGUACUGACGCUGAGACGCGAAAGCGUGGGGAGCGAACAGGAUUAGAUACCCUGGUAG
Molecule: ribosomal RNA, 465 nt
Filed under: uncultured Actinomycetes bacterium
Lineage: Bacteria; Bacillati; Actinomycetota; Actinomycetes
Description: bacterial SSU rRNA
Rfam family: Bacterial small subunit ribosomal RNA
Source: RNAcentral